ACGAAAGAUAAAACAAAUUAUUAAUGUGUGUAGCCAAUCUGUGGAAUUUGGUUGUGCGAUCUAAAUUUAACGUAUAAAGUUGGACACAGUUUUUUUUUUUUUUUUGGUUUCGAAAUUCCUCUAUAGUAUUUCUUAUAAAUUUAUCGUAUGUGUUGUCUAUUGUAUCUACAUAUUAUGCUAUAUGUAUACGCCUUGGAAACCCAACUUGAUUAACUUUUUAUAAAGUUCUGAUAAAAGGAGAAAUUGGCAGUAAAAAA
This 257-nucleotide long non-coding RNA is filed under the name Capsella rubella. Its description in RNAcentral is "long non-coding RNA (CRUB_LNC001351)". The record is from RNAcentral. Lineage: Eukaryota; Viridiplantae; Streptophyta; Magnoliopsida; Brassicales; Brassicaceae.